RNAcentral lists this ribosomal RNA (492 nucleotides) under uncultured bacterium. RNAcentral describes it as "partial 16S ribosomal RNA". It matches the Rfam family "Bacterial small subunit ribosomal RNA", at positions 29 to 507 of the family's 1533-position model. The record is from RNAcentral.
AGUGAACGCUGGCGGUAGGCCUAACACAUGCAAGUCGAACGGCAGCACAGUAAGAGCUUGCUCUUACGGGUGGCGAGUGGCGGGCGGGUGAGGAAUACAUCGGAAUCUACUUUUUCGUGGGGGAUAACGUAGGGAAACUUACGCUAAUACCGCAUACGACCUACGGGUGAAAGCAGGGGAUCUUCGGACCUUGCGCGAUUGAAUGAGCCGAUGUCGGAUUAGCUAGUUGGCGGGGUAAAGGCCCACCAAGGCGACGAUCCGUAGCUGGUCUGAGAGGAUGAUCAGCCACACUGGAACUGAGACACGGUCCAGACUCCUACGGGAGGCAGCAGUGGGGAAUAUUGGACAAUGGGCGCAAGCCUGAUCCAGCCAUACCGCGUGGGUGAAGAAGGCCUUCGGGUUGUAAAGCCCUUUUGUUGGGAAAGAAAAGCAGCAGGUUAAUACCCCGCUGCUCUGACGGUACCCAAAGAAUAAGCACCGGCUAACUUCGUG